RNAcentral lists this ribosomal RNA (274 nucleotides) under uncultured bacterium. RNAcentral's name for it is "partial 16S ribosomal RNA". It matches the Rfam family "Bacterial small subunit ribosomal RNA", at positions 523 to 796 of the family's 1533-position model. The record is from RNAcentral.
AUACGGAGGGUCCAAGCGUUAUCCGGAUUCAUUGGGUUUAAAGGGUCCGCAGGCGGGAAAAUAAGUCAGUGGUGAAAUCCUACAGCUCAACUGUAGAACUGCCAUUGAUACUGUUUUUCUUGAGUAUAGAUGAAGUGGGCGGAAUAUAUCAUGUAGCGGUGAAAUGCAUAGAUAUGAUAUAGAACACCGAUUGCGAAGGCAGCUCACUAAGCUAUUACUGACGCUCAGGGACGAAAGCGUGGGGAGCGAACAGGAUUAGAAACCCCAGUAGUCC